UACGUAGGUGACAAGCGUUGUCCGGAUUUACUGGGCGUAAAGAGCGCGCAGGCGGUCGAUCAAGUCGAGUGUGAAAGCCCCCGGCUCAACUGGGGAGGGUCAUUCGAUACUGCUCGACUCGAAGGCAGGAGAGGGUAGUGGAAUUCCCGGUGUAGUGGUGAAAUGCGUAGAUAUCGGGAGGAACACCAGUGGCGAAGGCGACUACCUGGCCUGUUCUUGACGCUGAGGCGCGAAAGCUAGGGGAGCAAACGGG
This 253-nucleotide ribosomal RNA is filed under the name uncultured bacterium. Its description in RNAcentral is "partial 16S ribosomal RNA". It matches the Rfam family "Bacterial small subunit ribosomal RNA", at positions 524 to 776 of the family's 1533-position model. The record is from RNAcentral.